AGUCCUUCGGGUUGUAAAAGCACUUUCCAGCAGGGAGGAAGGCAAUGUAUUUUAAUAGAUACAUUUGUUUGACGUUAGCUGCAGAAGAAGCACCGGCUAAUUCCGUGCCAGCAGCCGCGGUUAUACGCUAGGGUGCGAGCGUUAAUCGGAAUUACUGGGCGUAAAGCGCAUGCAGGUGGUUUGUUAAGUCAGAUGUGAAAGCCCGGGGCUCAACCUCGGAAUAGCAUUUGAAACUGGCAGGCUAGAGUACUGUAGAGGGGGGUAGAAUUUCAGGUGUAGCGGUGAAAUGCGUAGAGAUCUGAAGGAAUACCGGUGGCGAAGGCGGCCCCCUGGACAGAUACUGACACUCAGAUGCGAAAGCGUGGGGAGCAAACAGGAUUAGAUACCCUGGUAGUCCACGCCGUAAACGAUGUCUACUUGGAGGUUGUUCCCUUGAGGAGUGGCUUUCGGAGCUAACGCGUUAAGUAGACCGCCUGGGGAGUACGGUCGCAAGAUUAAAACUCAAAUGAAUUGACGGGGGCCCGCACAAGCGGUGGAGCAUGUGGUUUAAUUCGAUGCAACGCGAAGAACCUUACCUACUCUUGACAUCCAGAGAACUUGGCAGAGAUGCCUUGGUGCCUUCGGGAGCUCUGAGACAGGUGCUGCAUGGCUGUCGUCAGCUCGUGUUGUGAAAUGUUGGGUUAAGUCCCGCAACGAGCGCAACCCUUAUCCUUGUUUGCCAGCGAGUAAAGUCGGGAACUCCAGGGAGACUUCCGGUGAUAAAUCGGAGGAAGGUGGGGACGACGUCAAGUCAUCAUGGCCCUUAUGAGUAGGGCUACACACGUGCUACAAUGGCGCAUACAGAGGGCAGCCAACUUGCGAGAGUGAGCGAAUCCCAAAAAGUGCGUCGUAGUCCGGAUUGGAGUCUGCAACUCGACUCCAUUAAGUCGGAAUCGCUAGUAAUCGUGGAUCAGAAUGCCACAUAGAAUGCGUUCCCGGGUAGAGACACGCCCGGCGCCCCUCCAUCGGACUGGGCUGCAAAAGAAGUAGGUAGCUAACUUCGGG
This 1044-nucleotide ribosomal RNA is filed under the name Vibrio olivae. RNAcentral's name for it is "bacterial SSU rRNA". It matches the Rfam family "Bacterial small subunit ribosomal RNA", at positions 412 to 1445 of the family's 1533-position model. The record is from RNAcentral. Lineage: Bacteria; Pseudomonadati; Pseudomonadota; Gammaproteobacteria; Vibrionales; Vibrionaceae.